This 147-nucleotide microRNA precursor is filed under the name Chelydra serpentina (North American snapping turtle). RNAcentral describes it as "mir-216a". The stretch from base 19 to 94 matches the Rfam family "mir-216 microRNA precursor family". Lineage: Eukaryota; Metazoa; Chordata; Testudines; Chelydridae. The record is from RNAcentral.
CUAACCUGGAUGGCUGUGAAUUGGCUUAAUCUCAGCUGGCAACUGUGAGCAAUUAAUAAAUUCUCUCACAGUGGUAUCUGGGAUUAUGUUAAACACAGCAAUUUCUUUGCUCUAGUCAGUGAAUCAAUAGACCUGUGCUGCCACCUA